Molecule: long non-coding RNA, 419 nt
Filed under: Rattus norvegicus (Norway rat)
Lineage: Eukaryota; Metazoa; Chordata; Mammalia; Rodentia; Muridae
Description: long non-coding RNA NONRATT021751
Source: RNAcentral
CAAUAAAGCAAAAGAGGAAUGGUCAUGGAUUGAUAAUGGCCAAUCUGAAUUUUCCUUGAACCUAAAAAAAUACAAUGAAAAGUAUGGAGGAUGUAUGUUCUUAUCUCAAACAAGACUAGAAAAUGCUAUGUGCAUGAACCGUUACCCAUGUAUUUGUCAGAAGAGACUGGAUAACUUCCCUGAUUGACUCUCCAACAAGAGUUAAAGGAUUUAGUCUGCUGUGCAAACAACGAGAUGAGCUGGAAGAGUGUGGGAAUGUUCUCUGGAAUCUGAUGUGGCAGAGCAGAGGCUUCUUCCAUCCUGGUGAAGACAGGACACAUUUUCUCUGGUGCAUGGACAUGGUUUGCUUCAAAGUCUCCAGGACUCUGCUCUUUCUGAUUUCUUAAACUCUUAUACAAUUAAAUCAAAUCCCAAUAACC